This is a long non-coding RNA of Brassica napus (rape), 1182 nucleotides long. RefSeq lists it as uncharacterized. NCBI's taxonomy places the organism in Eukaryota, Viridiplantae, Streptophyta, Magnoliopsida, Brassicales, Brassicaceae. The record is from RefSeq and is a predicted model, not a curated record. The transcript has 2 exons.
GUGUCGUGAUUAUGUUAAUUAACAAAUUUGAAGAACCAAACUUUAUAUAAUAAGACAGUAAAUGUAAAACAUAAAAAGAAAUAAAAAGAAUAGUUGUUCCCUUCUCAAAUUUGACAAAGAAUAGUUGCGUCAUUUAUUUCUCUACCAAAAAAAAAUGAGAAAAUGAGAAGGAAACAAUAUUUUUUUUGUAACUGGUAAUUUUUUUAAAGAAUGAUAAAUAAUUAAAUAUUCUUUCUCGUUCCUUCAUCACUAUUAAAAAUCUAUGUGUUGAUGUUUAUGAAAUCUAAUUUCCCCCAUUGAUUACUGUUUCUCUAAUCACUAGACAAUUUCUAUAAUAAAGAUAGCAACAAGUUCCAUAGAGGUAUGACUAGGUAUGACUAUGAGUUUUGUAGAUUCAUUUGUAUGGAUAUUGAAUUGUAUGAGCUAAUGAGCAUAGUUUUAUACUCCUCCCAUGCCAAAGGUAUGUAAUCCCAUGAACACCAAUCACCAUCCUUCUUUGCAAUUGUUUCUUGUUUUUUUCCAAAAAUAAAAACUAUAUAAUAAAAUAUCUAACACUUGAGUUCUCAUUGGAUCUUCAACGUUGAUCUGGCAGAUACUUUCUGUAAGAUAAUGUUAUCCACACAUCUUAAGUGAUCUUUGUGGGGACCCUCUUCUCCCGUCCGAAUAUCACCUCCUCUACUCCUUCACAAGUACAUAUAUACGCUCACACUCUCUCACAAAGUAGCCACUUCGGUACAACCGAUCUUGCUCACUCUAUGUUUGUCCAAACAUGGCGCUUCAAGCUGCUUGUUUGGUCUCCUCGGCUUUCUCUGUCCGUAAAGAUGGAACACUCGGGUCUCUUUGGUGCCUACAUUACUGACCGAGUCAAAUCCGAACAAAGCUCUUCCUCAUUAAGGUUCAAGAGAGAACAUAGCUUGAGAACACUAGCAUUUCGAGCACAAACAGCAGCUACUUCAAGCCCCUCGCUGUCACAAAGGAUUCAAGAUACUUCCAGAUUUAACAAUAUCUUUCUUUAGUCUAAGACAUGCAUUUUCUGUAUCAAUGUGAUCUAAUUAGAUAAAGACAAAAAUGUACUUUAGUUGACAUAUUGAACAUGUAUUAUAAAUGUUUUAAUUAAAAAAACAGCAUAGAAGAAGGAGAUGUAACUAAUGUGUAAUACUCUACCAAGAAUAUCUUUACGUC